AGAGUUUGAUCCUGGCUCAGAGUGAACGCUAGCGGUGCGCCUAACACAUGCAAGUCGAGCGACCCCGGUUUACCGGGGGAGCGGCGAACGGCUGAGUAACACGUUGGAAUCUGCCCCAGACUCAGGGAUAACCCCGCGAAAGCGGGGCUAAUACCGGAUGGUCUCGUAAGAGUAAAGCUUUUGCGGUCUGGGAGGAUCCUGCGGCAUAUCAGGUAGUAGGUAGGGUAACGGCCUACCUAGCCGAUGACGUGUAGCUGAUCUGAGAGGAUGAUCAGCCAGAAUGGAACUGAGACACGGUCCAUACUCCUACGGGAGGCAGCAGUGAGGAAUCUUCCGCAAUGGGCGAAAGCCUGACGGAGCGACACCGCGUGGUGGAUGACACCCUUUUCGGGCGUAAACACCUGUCCUGAGGGACGAAACUUUUGACGGUACCUCAGAAGAAAGCACCGGCUAAUUCCGUGCCAGCAGCCGCGGUAAGACGGGAGGUGCAAGCGUUACUCGGAAUUACUGGGCGUAAAGCGUCCGCAGCCGUCCCGCAUAGGUCCGCUGUAAAAUCUCACAGCCCAACUGUGAGCUCGUAGUAGAAACCAGCGGGAUUGAGUCAUAGAGAGGCAUCUGGAAUGCCAUGUGUAGGGGUAAAAUCCGUUGAUCCAUGGUAGAACGCCAAAAGCGAAGGCAGGAUGCUGGCUAUGUACUGACGGUCAGGGACGAAAGCAUGGGGAGCGAAGGGGAUUAGAUACCCCCGUAGUCCAUGCCCUAAACGAUGCGUGCUCGGUGUGGGAGUUUUCAAUUAACUUCCGUGCCCCAGCUAACGCGGUAAGCACGCCGCCUGUGAACUACGGCCGCAAGGCUAAAACAUAAAGGAAUAGACGGGGACCCACACAAGCGGUGGAGCGUGGGGUUUAAUUCGAUGAUAAGCGGAGCACCUCACCCAGGUUUGACAUCCUGAGAAACCCGCAGAAAUGCGGGUGUGCCUUUAUGGAACUCAGUGACAGGUGGUGCACGGUAGUCGUCAGCUCGUGUCUUGAGAUGUACUGUUAAGUCAGCAAACGAGCGCAACCCUCAUCCUAUGUUGUUUUUUCAUAGGAGACUGCCGCCUCCAAGGCGGAGGAAGGUGAGGAUGACGUCAGAUCUGCGUGUCCCUUAUACCUGGGGCAACACCCGCGCUACAAUGGCCGGUACAAAGGGCAGCCAACCCGCAAGGGGGAGCCAAUCCCAUCAAAACCGGUCUCAGUUCGGAUAGGAGUCUGCAACUCGACUCCUUGAAGCUGGAAUCGCUAGUAAACGUGAAUCAGCUAUGUCACGUUGAAUACGUUCCUGGGUCUUGUACUCACCGCCCGUCAAGUCCUGAAAGGCAGAAACGCCCGAAGCACCUUUACCCCGGUUUCCGGGGGGGGUACCACGGUGGGGCUGCUGAUUGGGACUAAGUCGUAACAAGGUA
RNAcentral lists this ribosomal RNA (1441 nucleotides) under uncultured bacterium. RNAcentral's name for it is "bacterial SSU rRNA". It matches the Rfam family "Bacterial small subunit ribosomal RNA". The record is from RNAcentral.